This 377-nucleotide unclassified non-coding RNA is filed under the name plant metagenome. RNAcentral describes it as "partial contains 5.8S ribosomal RNA, internal transcribed spacer 2, and large subunit ribosomal RNA". The stretch from base 1 to 105 matches the Rfam family "5.8S ribosomal RNA", at positions 50 to 154 of the family's 154-position model. The record is from RNAcentral.
GAACUGCGAUAAGUAAUGUGAAUUGCAGAAUUCAGUGAAUCAUCGAAUCUUUGAACGCACCUUGCGCUCCUUGGUAUUCCUUGGAGCAUGCCUGUUUGAGUAUCAUGAAAUCUUCAAAGUAAAUCUUUUGUUAACUCAAUUGGUUUCUACUUUGGUAUUGGAGGUCUUUGCAGCUUCACACCUGCUCCUCUUGUUCAUUAGCUGGAUCUCAGUGUUAUGCUUGGUUCCACUCGGCAUGAUAAGUUAUCUAUCGCUGAGGACACUGUAAAAGGUGGCCAAGGUAAAUGCAGAUGAACCGCUUCUAAUAGUCCAUUGACUUGGACAAUACUUUUAUGAUCUGAUCUCAAAUCAGGUAGGACUACCCGCUGAACUUAAGC